CUUUUUCUACGCACAAACACAGUUGCACCUCCUCCACCUACGACAACGCCUAUCUUGUCCAUCCAAGACGCUGACAAUGCAACUAGGGGCCCAACAUACCCUUUGUUAGUGUCAACAAGACGUCUCCUCCUUUGUUCCUCUUCCCACACGUGAGACCUCAACACCAUAACCACAACUCAAUGUUGCUCAUCGUCACCUGCCAAGGUCGUCAUCAAAGAUGUCGUCGACAUUAUUGGUGACAUUAUUCUUUCUUUCAUCUUGAGUUCUCUUCUUUUUCUUCCAUUUUCUUCUUUGAGCGGGACGAAGACUGUUGUUAUACCUUGUUGUUGUCAUCGGAAGCGCCACUACUUCUUCCUCCAUUUACAACAAUUUUGGGUUUUGGUUUUAUAAAAUGCUAGUUGAUGGAUGGGUGCAUGGUCUCAUGGAGUCAAAGUUGAAUGGCCAUAGUGGAGAGAAUCAUAGAAUCAUGAUUUUUGUGAGUUCUCUGUUUACAUGGAAAUGAUGUUUUAUGAGUUGAAUGAAUGCUGAUGAUGAUUGGGAAAAGGUCUUGGGGGGAUAGGGUGUGAAGAUUAUGGAAUUGAAGAGUGGAAUAGAGGUGAAAAUGGUAACUAGAUCGAGAAAGCUGGAGGAAGAAAGGUGAUGGGUGAUGUAAUUAGUUAAAAUGGAAAAGUAAAAGAAAGAAAAAGAAACAAAGAUGAAACUAAUCACGAUAUUUAUUGAUGAAUUUUAUUAACAUAAUCAAACUUAAAACUUCAUACUCACUAAAAAGUGUUAUAACCAACUCCGGUACCAUCUCAUUUAUUUAUUUUACUAAUUAUUAUAAGAAUUUAAGGUCUUAAUCUUUUACAACCAUUUUAUUUCUUGUGAAAUUCUUUUAAUAUCU
This 883-nucleotide long non-coding RNA is filed under the name Vigna radiata. Its description in RNAcentral is "long non-coding RNA (VRAD_LNC004041)". Lineage: Eukaryota; Viridiplantae; Streptophyta; Magnoliopsida; Fabales; Fabaceae. The record is from RNAcentral.